Molecule: non-coding RNA, 1944 nt
Organism: Phalacrocorax carbo (great cormorant)
Lineage: Eukaryota; Metazoa; Chordata; Aves; Suliformes; Phalacrocoracidae
Source: RefSeq, a predicted model, not a curated record
UCACUCAGAUCCUCCUCUGAGAAGGAAUCGCUUUACAGUGCUCAGGAUUUGGAAGGAAAGCCAAAGACAAAAAGCUUCAAAACCAAGGAUUCAACAUCAGAUCUGCUAUCACGAUCCCCAGCCACCAACUGCCGGAGCCACUGUCUGAAGGAAAGGCCGGCACAGCAAUCCCUGCUGCUGUUGCUGAGUUUCCUUCUCUGUGUCCAAGAGUCCUGCUUUCCCAGGGAAGAAGUGAGUGCUGCAGGAAGACAGAGGGCAAGUCAUGCACCAAAGAGCCUCCCACACAGUACAAUGCUGUGUUCAAGAUGCUGAGAGCCAGAAUGAAAGAGGGAAGCCACUUCCAACAGGAUGAAGAAAAGAUGGAGCUGGUCUAGGUGCUCCAAGCACAGAAGAAAGUGUUGAGAAUGAAAAAAGGAACCAAGAAGCAGAAGAGAAGAACCAAGUCUGGCCUUUUGGGACAGCAAGGAUGCUGGGCUUGUACUGACUGUCUGUUGAGAUGAUACCAUACCUCUGCAGUUUGGGGCCACUGGGACUCACCUAAAGAAAUCUUCACUAGGCCACCAGUUAAAAAACUUUCCUGAUUAAUUUUGCCAAAUGACUGACCCUGCCUAGGCUACGAACCCUCCAUGCUGUUAAUGCUGUAACUCAUUUUUCCUGAGUUGAGGGUAACUUCAUUUCAUGCGGGUAUCAGUUUUCAAACCUCAAAGGGCUCUGAAGGUUUGGAGAAGCAUCCUGCGGUCCAGAUGCUUGUCUGAACUGCUUGAGCCUGCACAACUGGGCCAGCUGUCUUGCCAGGAGGGACACUCUUGUGAGACAGCAGGCGCUUCUUGGAUCUGCAUGGGCCAGAGUUACUGCAAGAACUGGCGUUCUUGUGCUGGCUUUGGCAUGACUGUUUCCAUCCAGACCCAAGGAGCACAAAAGUUGUGCAAAAGACAAGAGCUCGAGUGAGUUGAACAAGACAGUUUUGGUUCACAUCUCAGCUGAAGAGGUCCGGUUGGUUCCUCUCUCUUCCAGAGCCAACUGUCCCGGGUGUGCAUGUGUGCGUGUCAGCGCGGGUGGGUGUGUGUGUGUUGAGCAAUCAAAUCGACUUAACCAAAUUCUGUGGUGUUUUGUUGCAUUUGAACGAAGCCAAUGGGACCUAAUGUGCAUUCCAACAACGCUCAGCAAAAAUGUCCAGGACUAGAAAAUUAUGUAGAACCAUGUAAAGGCAGACUUUGUAGGCAUCAUCCCAAGGUCAAAAUGAUGUUUGAUUUUGAGGUGCUAAUUUCCACAGUCCCUUUCAACGGACCUGACUGCCUCAAUAUGCAUUUUAUUUUUCCAUAGACUUUUCUGCCUUUUUAAUGAAUUAGCCAAUCUGUGCUACUUGGUCAUUUGGUCCUGAGGUUUAUACAUUUUCAGCUGACUUUUUGGAGUGUGCAGAACUGAAUCUCCUGGACUGAUUUUAUUUCAAUUAUUGCUCCUGGUGGAUUGGAGCUUUACUUGUAGCACCCUGGUUUAUAUUACCAGCCUCUCCAGGAAGGACUGGUAGUUUAUUUUCCUGGGGCAGAGUCACGUGAAUGAAGAAGUGUGUACGUGUAGUGUCUGUGAAACUUCAACGGAUUUCAACCAUUGAUUUUUUUCCUUAGGCAAUUUUACAUUUGACUCUGACAAAACUACUUUAGAGUUUUUAUUUUUACUAGAGAUAUUAUUAAUUCAAACAACCUUGUACAAAAGGCAAACACAUUGAAUCACUGCAGGUUAUAGGGGUUGAAGCCAAAAGGUCUUUGUAAGCCAACAUCACUUGCCCUAGAUCUGACUGUAUCAGGCAGUUUAUUCGUCAUGUGUCAUGUUGGAGUUACAAGAUCACACCGAGCCACUAGAACCUGUCAAUAGAAUAGUGCUACACUCUAUUUGCUAUUGUAGCAAAGCCUUUUGUAGAUUUAUACAAUAAAACUUUGAAAUAUC